GAUGAACGCUGGCGGCGUGCUUAACACAUGCAAGUCGAACGGAAAGGCUCCUGCUUGCCGGGCGACUCGAGUGGCGAACGGGUGAGUAACACGUGGGUGAUCUGCCCUGCACUUCGGGAUAAGCCUGGGAAACUGGGUCUAUUACCGGAUAGGACGAUGGGUUGGAUGCCAUUGUGGAAAGUUUUUCGGUUUGGGAUGAGCUCGCGGCCUAUCGGCUUGUUGGUGGGGUAAUGGCCUACCAAGGCGUCGACGGGUAGCCGGCCUGAGAGGGUGUACGGCCCAACUGGGACGGAGCUGCGGCCCGGACUCAAACGCGAGGCGGCAGUGGAGAGUGUUACACAAUGGGCGCAGGGCUAGUGCAGCGACGCCACGUGGGGGAAGACGGCAAUGGGGUAGUAAACUAAAUUCGCUAGGGACGAGGAGAAAAUGACGGUACCUGGAGAAGAAGCACCGGCUAACUACGUG
RNAcentral lists this ribosomal RNA (465 nucleotides) under uncultured bacterium. RNAcentral describes it as "partial 16S ribosomal RNA". It matches the Rfam family "Bacterial small subunit ribosomal RNA", at positions 28 to 507 of the family's 1533-position model. The record is from RNAcentral.